Molecule: transfer RNA, 77 nt
Filed under: Acidilobales archaeon
Lineage: Archaea; Thermoproteati; Thermoproteota; Thermoprotei; Acidilobales
Also listed under: 2 other names
Description: tRNA-Ala
Rfam family: tRNA
About the family: Transfer RNA (tRNA) molecules are approximately 80 nucleotides in length. Their secondary structure includes four short double-helical elements and three loops (D, anti-codon, and T loops). Further hydrogen bonds mediate the characteristic L-shaped molecular structure. tRNAs have two regions of fundamental functional importance: the anti-codon, which is responsible for specific mRNA codon recognition, and the 3' end, to which the tRNAs corresponding amino acid is attached (by aminoacyl-tRNA synthetases). tRNAs cope with the degeneracy of the genetic code in two manners: having more than one tRNA (with a specific anti-codon) for a particular amino acid; and 'wobble' base-pairing, i.e. permitting non-standard base-pairing at the 3rd anti-codon position.
Source: RNAcentral
GGGCCGGUAGCUCAGCCUGGAAGAGCGCUCGGUUUGCACCCGAGAGGACCCGGGUUCAAAUCCCGGCCGGUCCACCA